GAUUUGCAUUCAACUCUAAUUUAUUGUAUUAAUGAUGUUUUGCUGUAACAAAUAUGAAUUUUUUGUUUAAGUAUAAUAAUUUAAAAUGUUUUUUCUAGAGAAUGAAGUACUGCCACUAAGGUAAAGGUGCUAACUUGCAAGGAGCUGUUCUCAAAACAUUGGGUGACAAAGAAUUCACUUU
Molecule: long non-coding RNA, 181 nt
Organism: Stegodyphus dumicola
Lineage: Eukaryota; Metazoa; Arthropoda; Arachnida; Araneae; Eresidae
Source: RefSeq, a predicted model, not a curated record